GUCACGCCCGAAAUCGUUACCUCAACCGCAAGGAGGGGGAUGCCUAAGGCAGGGCUAGUGACUGGGGUGAAGUCGUAACAAGGUAGCCGUACCGGAAGGUGUGGCUGGAUCACCUCCUUAAAGGGAGACCUAAUUCAGGUAAAAGACGAAAAAAAAGUAGUCGCUACCAAGAAUCAAUCCCAAAAGGUCGGAGCGAGGCGAAAUUGGCUUUCAAACUAGGUUCUGGGUUCAAACAAGACCUGAAUCAGGAACAAGGGCUAUUAGCUCAGGUGGUUAGAGCGCACCCCUGAUAAGGGUGAGGUCCCUGGUUCGAGUCCAGGAUGGCCCACCUGCACAGGUGGCAAAAACAAGAGAAGCGAGGAAUCAGCACCUUAUCUUACUUAUAUAGUAAGAGAGAAUGCUGGCUCUGAGUAAAGAGUCCAGAGGAACCUUGAAAACUGCAUAGAGCUAGGUGAAAAAGCCAAAAAAGAAGACCGCAAGGUCAAGCUAAUAAGGGCUAACGGUGGAUACCUAGGCACACAGAGG
Molecule: unclassified non-coding RNA, 525 nt
Filed under: uncultured cyanobacterium
Lineage: Bacteria; Bacillati; Cyanobacteriota
Description: partial contains 16S ribosomal RNA and 16S-23S ribosomal RNA intergenic spacer
Rfam family: Bacterial small subunit ribosomal RNA (bases 1-120)
Source: RNAcentral